Molecule: ribosomal RNA, 292 nt
Filed under: Escherichia coli
Lineage: Bacteria; Pseudomonadati; Pseudomonadota; Gammaproteobacteria; Enterobacterales; Enterobacteriaceae
Description: partial 23S ribosomal RNA
Rfam family: Bacterial large subunit ribosomal RNA
Source: RNAcentral
GUACACAAAAAUGCACAUACUGUGAGCUCGAUGAGUAGGGCGGGACACGUGGUAUCCUGUCUGAAUAUGGGGGGACCAUCCUCCAAGGCUAAAUACUCCUGACUGACCGAUAGUGAACCAGUACCGUGAGGGAAAGGCGAAAAGAACCCCGGCGAGGGGAGUGAAAAAGAACCUGAAACCGUGUACGUACAAGCAGUGGGAGCCUCUUAAUGGGGUGACUGCGUACCUUUUGUAUAAUGGGUCAGCGACUUAUAUUCUGUAGCAAGGUUAACCGAAUAGGGGAGCCGAAGGG